GAUGAACGCUGGCGGCGCGCCUAACACAUGCAAGUCGAACGAUUAAAGCACCUUCGGGUGUGUAUAAAGUGGCGAACGGCUGAGUAACACGUGGGCAACCUGCCCCUUUCAUUGGGAUAGCCACGGGAAACCGUGGAUAAUACCGAAUACUUCGAGACUUCCGCAUGGAAGACUCGAGAAAGCUCCGGCGGAGAGGGAUGGGCCCGCGGCCUGUUAGCUUGUUGGUGGGGUAACGGCCUACCAAGGCAAUGAUGGGUAGCUGGGUUGAGGGACCGACCAGCCAGAUUGGGACUGAGACACGGCCCAGACUCCUACGGGAGGCAGCAGUGGGGAAUCUUGCACAAUGGGCGAAAGCCUGAUGCAGCGACGCCGCGUGCGGGAUGAAGGCCUUCGGGUUGUAAACCGCUUUCAGCAGGGACGAGGCGAAAGUGACGGUACCUGCAGAAGAAGCCCCGGCUAACUACGUG
RNAcentral lists this ribosomal RNA (467 nucleotides) under uncultured bacterium. Its description in RNAcentral is "partial 16S ribosomal RNA". It matches the Rfam family "Bacterial small subunit ribosomal RNA", at positions 28 to 507 of the family's 1533-position model. The record is from RNAcentral.